RNAcentral lists this ribosomal RNA (264 nucleotides) under Candidatus Kaiserbacteria bacterium. RNAcentral describes it as "partial 16S ribosomal RNA". It matches the Rfam family "Bacterial small subunit ribosomal RNA", at positions 1 to 297 of the family's 1533-position model. The record is from RNAcentral. Lineage: Bacteria; Candidatus Kaiseribacteriota.
UUAAAUUAGAGUUUGAUCCUAGCUCAGGGUGAACGCUGGCGGCGUGGAUGAGGCAUGCAAGUCGAGUGGGUUUAGACCCACGGCAGACGAGGUAGGAACACGUAGGUACGUACCCCAAAGUCACGGAUAACCCGGCGAAAGUCGGAAUAAUACGUGAUGGUCUCGCAAGAGUAAAGAUUUAUCGCUUUGGGAACGGCCUGCGUUCUAUCAGCUUGUUGGUAAGGUAACGGCUUACCAAGGCUACGACGGAUAGGGGAGGUGAGA